Molecule: transfer RNA, 73 nt
Filed under: Rhizoctonia solani AG-8 WAC10335
Lineage: Eukaryota; Fungi; Basidiomycota; Agaricomycetes; Cantharellales; Ceratobasidiaceae
Description: tRNA-Ala (AGC) (tRNA-Ala-AGC-1-1)
Rfam family: tRNA
About the family: Transfer RNA (tRNA) molecules are approximately 80 nucleotides in length. Their secondary structure includes four short double-helical elements and three loops (D, anti-codon, and T loops).
Source: RNAcentral
GGGCAUGUAGCGCAGUUGGUAGCGCGCUCGCUUAGCAUGCGAGAGGUCUUGGGUUCAAUUCCCAACUUGUCCA